Long non-coding RNA from Selaginella moellendorffii, 330 nucleotides. RefSeq lists it as uncharacterized. The transcript has 2 exons. Lineage: Eukaryota; Viridiplantae; Streptophyta; Lycopodiopsida; Selaginellales; Selaginellaceae. The record is from RefSeq and is a predicted model, not a curated record.
AGGAGUGCUUGAGCAGCAGCAGCCACGAUGAUCAUGGUUUGGACGAGGAGAGGAGCUGAAACUUGCAGCCCGCGUGACUCGUAAUGCAGCCUUGUCUAGGAAAUUUUUUCGAUCAUUGCACUCCUCCAUUUUCUAUGUGAUGUCCUUGAAUUUCAGCUAGAGGGGUUGUCCAAGUUUGUGGCACAGGAGCCAAUUGCCACUGAUCCAGCAGCAGUAGCAAGAUUUCUAGGAGCGAUGGCGAAACAGGAGAAAUUUUUGGCAAAAGCUAUGGUUCCUUGGUGGCUGGGAUCUUACUUUUUGAUUUGAUUUGAAGUUUGCACCUUUCAGGCU